ACUGAAACGUGGAGGGGUUGUUUGAUGUGGAGGGACUUUGGGUUUUUGUUUGUGGUGUUUUUGUUAGGUUUGUUGGUUUUUACCAGCAAACCAUCCUCUUUGUAAUGUCAAAAUAUUUUAAGUAAACAGCUUUUUUAGUUCUCAGUGCACAGGGAAGUUAUUCACCCCUCUUCCAUUCGCUGCUUUGAGCAGUAUUUCCAAAAUCAUCUCUCCACAAGAUGUGUCAGCUGGGAAGCACAGGGGACACAUGAGCCAAGGGCAACUUCAGAUUGUGUAGGGUUGUAGAUUUUUAGUGCCUAAUGUGAAAAUUAGGCUUUGUCUUACUAAACUGAAAUGAAUUUCCAAUGUUUAUAUGUCUGCGUCUCAAGGCAGUGAAUGUAUUGAAAUUGAAGAUAAACACAUGGAGUUAUUUGACCAUUGUGACGCAGGCACAGCCCGUUUUUCUCAGUUACCAGGAAGGUGGCUGUGGUGUCUGCCACACCUUUGGUGUUUGUCCUGACUUUGACCUUGUUGCAGAAGACUGUAAAGUGAAUUUUGGCAUCCCUGAGGCCCAGGCCUGCCAUGUAUGACCGUGCCUUUGCUCAGCUGUCUGGAUUUCAGUGUUCAGCAAAGAGGAGUGAAUGGAGCUGCAGAGGAGGACAAGCUUUGGAAUGCAUCUGGCCAUUAAAGCAGCUUUUUAUUCAGGGUUGUGCAAGUGUUAGGAGCUGCUUCCCAAAGGAUUAAACUCCUUGUCAGCUUGAGAUCAGCAGCUGAAGGAGCUCUCGUUGGAGACAAACUGCCAGUGCCUCGUAGAGAUAAUGUGUAAAAAAGUAAUCUCUUCCAGAAUAUCACCAAGCUUGCUCACAUUUGCCAGACCAAGUCCAGUGUUUCUUCCAGAGUAAAGCAACAGCUGGAAAUAAAAACCAAUUCUUCUGAUCUCCAGCACAGAGGGACCUUUUGAAAAUUGUUCUUCAUUUUGCUUUAGAUGUUCAGAAUCCUCAGAUUAUAAUUAGAAUAUUUAAAGCAUUUUGUAUAUUUUGUAUAUUUAUAUUUUGUAUAUUUAUAUAUAUUUAAAGCAUAUUGUGUAUCUAAUAUGGGAAGCAUCCAAAUAAACAAGAUACACACACUUCGUUCUUCUAGCACAUGUAACAUCAGUUUCAUGCAGAAGUUUUAAAAUAAUAGUUUAAUAUAAAUAACAGCUCAAACAUAAAUAUUUAAAUGGCCUAGUCAGUGUGGAGUUUUUUCUUUGGUUUGGGUUUUUGGAUUGUUUUUUUAAAAUAAUCUCAGAGUAAUUCUGUGGGAAAGAGGUGGUGCAAGUUAUGCAGGGAGAAAGGUGUCUGGUUAGAAGUGGAGAACAUUGGCAGAAGAGUUUGUGUUGUGGAAGGAAAAACUGAUAAUCUCUCACUACAUACUCAAUGACAUACACUACAAUUCACUACAAUUCACAACAUAUUCAGUUCCAGAACUGGGAAACAUUAUAUAAAGCAAAUGCUACCAGAAAUUUUUUAUGAAAGUAAAAAGUCUAUUUAGUGCCAAGUGCAGUGAUUUGUUUAGUCAUGCUUUCAGUGCCUGCAGUUUUGAUUUUCCUGUAUUUAAAAAUUCAGCGCCACAUUAAAUUGUCUUACACAAUACCGUUGCUUUUCUGGAAAUGAUAAAUCUGCUCAUUGAUUUUCUAAUUUUAUUAUGUACACAGCUAAUUGUAAUCCAAGAUUACAGCAAACAAGAUGUUAAUUUCUAGACAACCUAUGUACAUUUCCCUCAGAGUGCGAGUGCUACAGAAGCAAAGAGUACAAAGAGAAUACCAUUUGUGCUAUCCUCACAGGAGCUGUCAAUAAAAGAUGUAAUAGGGGAUUUAGGAAUCUGGAAAUGGCCAACUAAUUUAUGUGAAUCUAUUUUAUUUCAGCUAGAAAGCCCAAGCUCUGUUUCGUCUGCACUGCAUAUUGCAGAGCACAGGCUGUCUAUAGAAAACCAGGCGGCUGCAUAUGGAUAGUCCCUUGAUAUCAUUCACUUGCUGUGUAAUCUUAUUAUGCAAAGUUCUAAUCUUCACCUAGAAUGAAUGCCUCUGGGUCAGAAUAUAGUCAUAUCAGGGUUUUUGAGGUCAUGUUUUGUGAUCCUUAGCUUAUUCUUCUAAGUAGAGCUGGGAUUUAAAGAGUAUUCCCCAGACACUGGCAGAGAUAGACGGCAAAACCUGCUGCCUUUUUGGAAGACAAGACCAACAUGAGGUCCCUGGUAGGAUUAAACUUGAUUUGUAGCUGUAGGAUUUUUUAACAGAUGUAUUAUUGGACAGGGAAUAGGGGGCCACCAGCACAGCGAAAUUGGAUCACAAUUGGCAUUCUCAGGGAGUCCGCUGGCUGCUAAAACAGCAGCUGCAUGUGGAUUUGACUUCUUUCAGGUGAAGCGACUUCCAGUCAUUUGGAAAGGAUGGGAUGAAAAGGAACCUUGGUGAUAAUUUUGAUGUCUGCAAGAUUUAGUACCAAUGUAAUGGGAUUAUCGGUAACACCUUCGCUGCAGAAAAAGCCACCUGGCGCUAUAACUGGCAGCAACUGAGAACUAAUCCUUUCCCAUCUCUUGGAUGUCAUUCAUGAGGCUCCAAGUGAUUUCUACCCUGCUAGCUGUGAUUAAUUUUAUAAACAAACAAACAAAAACCCGAGUGAUGAAAGCAUAGGCUAUGGAAGGAAGAGGGAGCAGAAGAUACUAGUAAUUACAUUUUGCAUUUUAUUUGCUGUGUAUUUUACAGCUAUACAGUUGUGGUAAAAUAACCAAAUUGUGGUUUUUUGUGAUAAAUAUGAAUGUGUGACCUUUUUUAACCAGUGUUGAUUUCAGCAGAAAUUUUUCAGCUACCUGCUAUAUGAUAGUAGGUAAUACCUGGAAGUAAUUACAACAGGUAUUAGGCCAUUAGUUCUGCAAUAAGGAUGUUUAUACUACAGAGCCAUUAAGUUUUCAAGGGGCCUGUGACUUAAAUAAUUUGUUUUACUGUGCUCAAUGGUCUUAUGUUCGAUCUGGUGGAGUUGCCUGCUGAUGGUACUUUGUAUUAAAAUUGUGUGCUGUGGAAAACUGUUCAGCUGUUUACUUCCGUGUGGUCAACAAUAUGACAUUGUUUCAAAAAUGUAAUGAUAUGAAGUUUUCAGAGGAAACAAUUCUAUUUUAAUGAUGCUCAAGUUGAUUCCUGUGUGGAUUUUUUUUUUCUUUUUAAAUAAACUAGUUUGGUCUGGUGGUUUUUUUUA
This is a long non-coding RNA of Vidua macroura (Pin-tailed whydah), 3203 nucleotides long. RefSeq lists it as uncharacterized. The transcript is spliced from 2 exons. The record is from RefSeq and is a predicted model, not a curated record. Lineage: Eukaryota; Metazoa; Chordata; Aves; Passeriformes; Viduidae.